Molecule: ribosomal RNA, 245 nt
Filed under: uncultured bacterium
Lineage: Bacteria
Description: partial small subunit ribosomal RNA
Rfam family: Bacterial small subunit ribosomal RNA
Source: RNAcentral
AGAAUCGACGCUGGCGGCGUGCCUAACACAUGCAAGUCGAACGAGAAAGUGGAGCAAUCCAUGAGUAAAGUGGCGACCGGGUGAGUAACACGUGACUAACCUACCUUCGAGUGGGGGAUAACCUCGGGAAACCGAGGCUAAUACCGCAUAACAUCGCAAGAUCAAAGCAGCAAUGCGCUGGAAGAGGGGGUCGCGGCUGAUUAGCUAGUUGGCGGGGUAAUGGCCCACCAAGGCGAAGAUCGGUA